Long non-coding RNA from Gadus macrocephalus (Pacific cod), 2599 nucleotides. RefSeq lists it as uncharacterized. The record is from RefSeq and is a predicted model, not a curated record. The transcript has 5 exons. NCBI's taxonomy places the organism in Eukaryota, Metazoa, Chordata, Actinopteri, Gadiformes, Gadidae.
GGCAUAGCGACGUAACCACGUCAUUUCGGCCGUAGGGCCACCGUUUGACCAACGUGCAUUAUCCCCCGAUGGCCACCGUUGGCUUAUAGCCAAUUGCCAACUUAUAAUUAAGGUAGCCAAAUUGUAUUAAUUUGCCUUUACCAAAUAAUUUCAAUUUCCUUUUAAUUAAACCUAGCAACAAGAGUUUUGAGUUCAAAAACCAUUCAAACAUCAUGGAAUUAAACCAGAAAGUGUUAACAUUUAUUAAAUACUUGUCAUGAUAAUAAUAAUAAUAAUAAUAAUAAGAAGAAGAAUAAAUUAAUUAAAAAUGAAUUAAAAUCCGAGUCGGUGUGCAGGCGGAAGGCGGGUCACUCCAGGCUGCUGCAGUCGUCGUCGCUGUCGCUGCUAGUUGUAUCAUCCAGGAUGACAGGUGAAGGACUCGGAGGAGGAAGACUGAACUGCUGGGGACCUGGAAUGUAGAAGAUCAUCGUUAAGCGUACAAUUUGGUGACAUGGGUAAAGCUCCAUCAAACUGUAAAAGGUUCAGCACAUCCCUCUUGCCCCUCAAACGCUUCAAGAGAAAGCUAUGCAAGUCUCAUUUCCACGCGAAGUGGUUGGUGAGGAUGUGGCGAAGGAUUCUUCGAACCGCGUCACCAGGAUUGCAGCCCCCAAGCGCACUAAGGUGUGCUGCCUGCAGGGUGCUCCUGGUUUGGGCUUUUUUCAGGUUCAUACGCGCUGCAUCAUAAUUGGCUGUUGAAGACAACAAUGAAGUGAGUAAAGCUUUUAAAGCCUAAGGGGAGAAAAGUGGUACAUCCUACUUUUGUCUGUCUCACCAAAGGUUUUCACCACCUCCACAAAAAACUCUCCCCAGGUCUCAUCUGGCAUAGCGCUUUGGAUGACUGCAACUUUCGUCCGCUUGGUGUCUUUAUACGGUGGCCAAAAAGACACCUUGCCAUCCAAACUUAACCACGAGCAAGGCACAACCUCCACCUCGUUUGACUCGGUUCCCAACCACAGCUGUCCCCAGUGCAGUUGAAUCAACAGGGUGGUUGAAAAAUGGACGUUGGUCUAAAUAUUGCCUCGCCACAAAAGACGUACCACCAAGUGUCCUGCUAAUUGCCUCUAUCUUAAAAGUGGCACCACCACACGAAACUGUGUUGUUCCCAUCCUUUGUGGACAGGGUAAAUCUAUCAGUGGCGUACUGUGUUGUUGAGGGUGAACUUUGGUUAUGGGAAGAUGGACAGACUGGGUUGAUGCUUGAUUUUUCCGUUAAUCGUUUAACAAUUUGUUGUAAUGUCUGGUUUGGCUUUCUAAUUUGUUUCUUUAAUUUAUACAAGAAAUUUUCGAAGGGAAAGGCUGAAAUUUGGGGUAGUGGGCCAUAUUUUCUAACAUCACUUGCCAGGUGGAUCAAGCUGUGGACGUUAUACACCAGAAAGUCCCCAUAGAUGGCGUGAAAAUUCUGAACGAACACUACCAGGAGAUUUUCCGCAUAGUCACAAUAACGGUGGUGGAGACGGGGGAACAUAAAAUUGUUAUUGCUACGUGGAGUAACAGAAAAUGUUGAUACAUGUGUUUUGGUAGUUUUUUUUUUAAUGCAAUGGGGCCAGUGUAGAGUAAAAAAGUCCUAAAUUCAGUGGCCUUCCACCGAUCAACCUCACGGAGGGACCUUCCCUUGCGUCCAAACUCCUUUGGCAGCCUCUUGCCCAAUUUGAUUAAGUUCUCCGAAAUAAUGCAGAUGGAUUAACUCCCAAUGCGGGUUGGAAGGGGCCCUCUCUGCCACAGCCAGAUCAACUUUCUCAUCACUCCUAGGCAUACCAGGUGCAUAAAGUCCAGCACAAAUUGGGUCACCAAGCCUACAUCUAGGUGUUGUAAUGGACUGUCGCCCUCUUUGUGAUGUUCCUGGUUGACUUUUGUGGCAAAACUGUCAUCGGUUCUGAGAACCGCAUCUGUUUCGGAGUAAUUUAGGCGUUGGUUCGCCCAUGAGCCCUCUUGCAUGCACCUUUCGCAGCCGUAAUAGGAAUUGUGUGCUUUUAUGUUUUUUAGAAAUGCCCUUGCCGGUGCAUCACAGACAAAACAGGAAAUUUCGAUUUUAUUUUUUUUUGACUGAUACUCCAAGCCAUCAGAUGCAAGCUUCCCCAUCUCUGCCACAAAGUCAGAGAGGUACUCGCUUGCAUCGGUUGGCUUGGAGUAUCCACAAUAUAAACCAAUUAGAAAUGGGGAUCUAAUGGGGUCCUCUUCAAUUAGUGCAAGAAUUGGCCAAAAUUGCUGGCUGCUGCUUUUAAAAAGGGGCAGGCCAUCCACAUUUAUUUGUAGUUUUAGUGUUUGGUUUUUAGCUAAGUCCUGUUCUUGCAUUCGGCCCAAGAUCCCUUUUGCCACACCAAAAUAGUGCAUGUUCCCCCCAGCUUUUGGUACUAUCUCCGCAUAAGUAGGGGUUGACAGGAGAGUGCGGCUGUCUUUUGGCAGUUUGGAAUCUGGGAAGUGCUUGCGAAGCACGGAGAGCAGGCUGGAAAUGUGGGAAAUUGGUGUAUUUGUUGUGAUUGCCCAUUCCUUGAGCUCAUGUCUUAAGUCCCUUUGAAAACUGCCCCCCUCCUCUGAAUCUGAGCCACUGCUAGAGCUCGACA